AUGGUGGUGGUAGGAGAACUAGGCGUUGGGGUUUCAGUCAUGGGGUGGUUCCUAGCGCCUCACAUCACCAAGCUCAUGGAGAUUGCACGGGAGUGCGCAGCCUCCAAGUGCAUGCUCUACGGGGACAGCACGGAGAUGCUGCAAAAACUGGCGGACGAUCUAUAUGACAUCAAGUGGCACCUCGACCCAGACAGCACCGACUUCGUCAACGACCAGGGCAAGCUUGACCGGCUAUGGCGGCUCAAAGACGACGUCCACCGCGUGGAGGAGAUCUUGGACCUGUUUCAGCUGGAGAUCCAUGACAUCGAGACAACCGGUAAUUACAUAACAAGAAAUAAGAAGCGCCUGCACGGCAAGAAAGUUGAGUUGUCGCGUCAGCUGGUGAAAGUGCUCAAGAAUCUAGACGAGACCCGGGACAGGGCGCGGGAACUCCGACAUGGCGCAGGCCCUUCCAUGUCGCCAAAAGCAGAAACUGGCCAGCACACCAUGAGGGACAAGAGGAGCUUCUUCGGGUACCAGGACGAGUAUGCCCAGCUGGUCUCUAUGUUGUGGCCGCAGCAGAAUGGCCACAAGCUGGUGAAGGUGGACGCCAAGGCGCGGCGGGUUAUCGCCAUCGUCGGCCAUGCCGGGAUGGGGAAGACAGAGCUUGCUCGCCAGGUGUUUCGGGACGCCAAAGGAAAGUUUGAUCUUUGCAUAUGGGUGCACGCCUAUGGCAAGAACAAGGAGUUGGACCUCCUGAAAGAGAUCUGGAGGUCUGCUGAUAGGCCUGUCGGCGAUAUGAACGUCUCAAGCCUUCAGAAGAAGAUGGAAAACCUAUUGGCAUCCAAGAGGUGCCUUCUGGUGCUCGAUGAUGUAUGGAACCAUGAGUUGGCGACCAACGAGGAGGAGAGGGAGCAGGCAUCGCUGGCGCUGGAAUCAAUAAUGAGCUUUGCCCAAGGUGGAAGCCGAAUCGUGAUGACGACUCGUGCCAAGAUUUGUUCAGUGACAUUCAAAGCAGCUGCAAGCAUCAUCCUAAAUGGAAUCAAACCCAAGGAGAUGACACUUCUACUCAACCACACCGCCAAGCUAAGGACCGAUGGUACUAUUGACAAUGAUGACAAAAAAAUUCAACAGCUCGUAAACAAGCAGGUGUCCAAGAUGAAGGGGUCCCCGUUGGCGGCCGUGGAGAUCGGCCACGAGUUGAGGAAACAAACCACAGUUGACAAGAGGUGCGACAUAUUGCACAACGUUGAGCAUCAUUUGGACACCGUGUUACAGGCCCAUCUGUUCACGUAUCGCCAUCUCUUGCCGCGCCUGCAGCGCUGCUUCGAGUUCUGCAGCAUAUUCCCAUACAAUUGGAGGUUCGAGGCUGAGAAGUUGACCAAGAUGUGGAUAGCUCAUGGUUUCGUCGAGGAGGACGCCCAACAAGAAGGUCGGAGCAUGGAGGAUGUCGCCACAGACUACUUCCAUAGCCUGGUGGAUCGUUCAUUGUUCCAAGAAGAAGGAGGCGAACCAGCUGGAGGCAACGGGACGACCUAUGUGAUCCAUGAGCAGGUCCAUUGGAUGAUACGCAUGGCCUCUACCAAGAACUGCAUCAGCAUCUCCGGCACAGCAGUGAGAAGCAUCCCUCCCACAGUUCGUCACUUGUCUGUCACCAGCAGCUCUCUUGAUCAGCUCAAGGCAUAUCCUAAAAUCAUAGUACUCAGCAAUAUGAGGACCCUGCUAGUCCUACAGAGCAAUCAUGGUGAUGAUGAUGAUGAUGAUUCAACAUCAUCGACGCCCUUGAUCAGUACAGUUGACAGAGUACUCCAGUUGACAAGGGUAUACUCAAACUGUUCAAGGGCGUGA
Molecule: ribosomal RNA, 1827 nt
Filed under: Triticum aestivum (bread wheat)
Lineage: Eukaryota; Viridiplantae; Streptophyta; Magnoliopsida; Poales; Poaceae
Description: partial small subunit ribosomal RNA
Source: RNAcentral